GGUGUGGGGGGUGCACGCGCGGCCCGGGCGGUUUCGAGGCCCCCCCCGCGCACAGCCCGGAGCGCCCCGGGCCGAGAGCGCGAUCAAAGAGCGGCGAGAGGGGAGCGCACGGGCCGGGCUCCCGCAGAUUACGGUGGGCGAUUCAUCACAGGGGACGGCAGUCGAGUCAGGAGGGAGCGGCCGGGGGCCCACAGGGACAGAGCCGAGCACACUGGGACGCACGGACACGGCACGGGGACAGACAGAUGGACAAGGACAGCCGGGAACAGGCGGCUGCACCGCGGGGCACGGCCCAGCACAGGCGCUGGUGCAGCGGGACGUGCAGCUGCAGCACAGAGCCGUGCCCAGGGACACACCGAGGGACACGCUGACACGCACACCGAAGGACACGGGAUCACACCGGCAGCUCGGAGGCACAGCCUCCUUCUCCUCUUCCAUGGCCACCGUGUGAAGGCCGGUUGGAUCCCUCUCCGUGUGGGAAAGGCCAGGAAAAAGCCGUUAUGGAUUAUCCCAGCGCGUGGACUCGGUGCUGGAGGGGAGCACGGUGCAGAUCCCAGCGUUGGGGCUCUGCGGUGUUUGGCUGCCGGGGGUCCCGGAGCGCUGGGGAAGAGUUCCUUGACUGAAAAAGAAAACUGAAAAAGCCAAAAAAAGCGGCUGUGAGGCUCUUCCUUCCCCAGUGACGGCAGCGGGAGGGGGAAGGAUCCGGGGGAACCUCUUGUGCUGGCUGUUCUCCCAAGCUUCGUCCUCCUGGGAGCUGCCAAGCCCCCUCGGAAGAAAGAGGAGGCUGGAGGAUCCCCCAACACUCCUUGGGUGGGAGCUGGAGCAACCCCUGGCUCUGCCUGGACCCCCAGCACUGCUGCAGCGGGACCCCCUGGCUGGUGUGACCCACUGCCGUCCUCCAAGGCUCAUCCCAGGGCUCUGCAUGGCACGGAACAGCAGGUAUGGCUCCCAGGACAGGCAGUUUUCCAGCUGGCUGUGGCAUUCCCGGCGCGUCUCAAGGCCGUCUGCGUCCAAGGGUCGUGUUUGUGGUGCAGAGGGACGAGGUGGCUCAGCACCACUGUCCCCUCUGCUCCCAGCUCAGGGCCCUCGCCCCCUGCCCGGCGCUCCCCGGGGCUGGUGGGCAGCGGGGGGCACAGAGCCACAGCCGCUCGGGGGUCCGAGGAAAAAGGAAGGAACUUAACUCCCAUUAACCAUCCCAUUGUACUGGCCGUGGGAAUAAUCGGGUUUGCUAAUGCAAUUGCUGCCGCGAUGCGAAAAUCCGACUGGAAAAUGUAUUAGAGCAAUUAUCCGCCUCCCUCCGCAGCCGGCGGAGCAUUAAUAUUCAAUUUUGAUGUGGAAGCCCUAUUAUGUUAAUGACUUUGGUGACAAAAGUCGUUAAUGCAAGACGUUCCCUUCAUGGCAGCAGCAUCAGCCGGGGCGAGCAGGGGCUGCUGCCACGGGAUGGGAUGGGGCACGGUGCGAGGGUGCAGGGUGGGGCUGUGGGGGGUCCGGGAGGAGCCCCCUCCCCGGCCCUACGGGGGUCCUGGUGCUCGGGUCGAGCAGCCGCUCCACGUUCUGGAGGUGCCGGAGCUCCCGGGUCUGUGCCGGGGCGGAUUAGCCGCGCUGCAGCACACCCGGCAGCGCCGCUCCCUCCCCGCAGCUGCCCUCCUUUGUUCUCUGCCCGAGCCCGGGGAGAUGCACCGGGGGUUCCCCGCCUGCCGGGAGGCGCUGGCCGGUGUCCCGGCCAUCAGGUGACACUGGUGCCGUGCCCCUGCCCCGGUGCUGCUGCCGCGGUUUGGGCAGUGCCAUGGGCAGGCCUGGAUGGGUGGAUCUGGAGCUGUGGGCUGGUGGUGGGGGGCACAGGGAGGGGGGUGAGGAGCAAACCAUCAGUAGAAGCAGCACCCCCUGGCCUUGCCGUCAGCGGCCACCACUGCAGCUCCCAUGUCAGUGCCAUGGGCAGUGUGAGGCUGAGCUGCACCAUGACAGUGUCCCGGAGCUGCUGGAAGGGACAGGAAGGGGCAAACAUGGAGCUGAGAGCUGCCUGUGAUGGAGAAAACGACCAUGACCUUCACCUCUCCAGCAAAGGGCUUGUACCCUGGGCUGGGAGUGACUGAAGGCCCCGGCUUUGCUGUGAGUGUGGCUGGCAGAGGGUGGCCCUGUGGCACAGGAACCCAGCUGGCCUGGCACUGGGGCUGGUUGGAAAGGAGGAAAUUUUUCAGGGCCAAGGAGGGGACAGCAGAACCCAGACACAACCCAGGCAUAGGCUGGGAUUUCUGUUGGCCCUUUCCAGGCUCCCCCAGGAGGUUCCUGCCAGGUGCUGUCCCCUCUGUGCAGUGAGUGUUCUGUGUCCCAGUACAGGGAUUGGCACGUGGCUGUAUCCCCACCCUGGGGGUCCAUGUAUGGCACAGCUCUGCCUGCAUGGGGGGCUGCAGCAGUUGGGAUUUGUUGCCCAGAGUCCCCCAAUAUGAUGCCACCCACCCCCAGUCCUGGUUCUGAUGGGCGAGUGGGGCCACAGGCACCCCAGCACAGCAUAACCCUGCUGCCACUUUGGGCUCCCUGACCCACAACACACCCAGGACAGCAGCCGAGGGACCCGUCCAGGGUGUCCCCCGCGGUCUGCCGGGGCAGGAAGGUGCUGCGCUGAUGCUGCCACACGGGAUCCGGCACUGACGGUGCACGGUCGGGCAGGUGUCCUUGGGGCGGCUGGGGACUGUCGGGACACCCCCUGGGGACACAGGACCGCUCUGGGGACGCACCCCGGUGGCCCGGGGCCGUUCCGGGGGCGGCAGGGCCGGGUCCUCCCGCGGUCCCCUCGCGGUCCCCUCGCUGUCCCCGCUCCCGGCUCCGCGCGCACGUGGCCGGGCCGGGCCGUGCCCCGGGCCCCGCCCCGCGCCCCCAUUGGCCCAGGGCCCCUCGUCCCGCGCUCCCAUUGGCCCAGCGCCCCCCGUCCCGCGCUCCCAUUGGCCCCGGUGCCCUCCACAAACAAAGGCCGGCGCCCAGCGGGGGGCCCGACGCGCGGCGCUGAUUGGUGGGGCGGAGGGGGCGGGGCGGGCCCGGGCAGGCCCCGCCCCCCGAGCCACGCCGGGUGCCCUAACAAGGAGAGGGGCGGGGCGUGCCCAUUCAUGCGCGCAGGGGAGGGGCGGGGCCAGCGCGGGGGCCGCGCUUCCCGCGCGCGGCGCGUUCCCACGGCGCGGGCGGGCGAAUGAAUGGGCGCGCGCGGAGGGUCCCGCACGGCUCGGUACGGCCCGGUAAUGCUCCGCACGGCUCGGUACGGCCCGGUAAUGCUCCGCACGGCUCGGUAAGGCUCCGUACGGCCCCCUACACCUCGAGGCCAUUGCCGCGCGUGGGUACGUGCGGGUGGGGAGCGUGUCCACUCGCGGGUGUGACGGUGCCAGGGCGCGCGCGAUGCGUGUCCUGCCUGUGUGUGUCCCUGCGUGUCCCCGGCGCUGCCGCGUCCACACGCACCCCGCUCUGUGCCUUCCACACCCACGCGUGUCCGCCCCCCUCCCCCGCGCGUUUGUUGUGCUGGGAGGUGAGGGGCGUUUCCCGGGGCCCCCCACGAUCGUGGCUCUGCAUCGCCACAGCCCGGCCCUGCAGGUGCCCAAGGACACCACCAUCGGACCCCACAGCCUGGGGACCCCCAUCCCAAAACCCACCCCACAGCUGCCCCUGGGGUGACACCAUGUGGGGGGUCACCACUGUCUCUCACCUCCCCCCAAAACGGGCUGUGCUGUGUAUCCCACUGUGCUGCUAUACCCCCCCACCCGCACAGAUCAGCCCCCUUGCCUCCAUCUCCCUCAUCAUGCCCAUAAAUUGAUUCCCAAUCCGGUUCCCACCCUGCCAGCCCCUCGUGGGACACGCGGCCGCUCCCGGCCCGCGCCGGAGACGUGGACUGAACUUUGGUCCCCGAGCAAUUAAGGUGCCUGAAACUGCACUUCAUUAAUGGUUGUUCUGCAAUAAAACCCAUCAAACUGCCCUUAUUUGCAAUAUAAAA
Molecule: long non-coding RNA, 3973 nt
Organism: Pseudopipra pipra
Lineage: Eukaryota; Metazoa; Chordata; Aves; Passeriformes; Pipridae
Exons: 3
Source: RefSeq, a predicted model, not a curated record